This is a non-coding RNA of Cinara cedri, 204 nucleotides long. NCBI's taxonomy places the organism in Eukaryota, Metazoa, Arthropoda, Insecta, Hemiptera, Aphididae. The record is from the annotation of a GenBank genome assembly.
CGGCACACAGGAAGUUACGUAGGUAUCCGAAACAACAAUAAUAACGUGUCACUUACUCAAUAGCACAUGCACAUCGCGUCGCGGCGUGAACGAGGAGUGGGAAUCGAUUCAAAAAGAGCAUCGACCUACGACUCAAAUUAUACGACACACGAUCAAAACCAUACGGACAAGUGACUCUGCGGCUGGCGCGUCCCGCGUAGCUGG